RNAcentral lists this ribosomal RNA (253 nucleotides) under uncultured bacterium. RNAcentral's name for it is "partial 16S ribosomal RNA". It matches the Rfam family "Bacterial small subunit ribosomal RNA", at positions 524 to 776 of the family's 1533-position model. The record is from RNAcentral.
UACGUAGGUGGCAAGCGUUGUCCGGAUUUACUGGGCGUAAAGCGCGCGCAGGCGGUUGGCUAAGUCUGGUGUGAAAUCUCCCGGCUCAACUGGGAGGCGUCAUCGGAUACUGGUCGGCUUGAGGGAGGCAGAGGAGAGUGGAAUUCCCGGUGUAGUGGUGGAAUGCGUAGAUAUCGGGAGGAACACCAGCGGCGAAGGCGGCUCUCUGGGCCUUUCCUGACGCUGAGGCGCGAAAGCGUGGGGAGCGAACCGG